UGAGCUUAUCUAGUUCCUUUUUGAACCCUGUUCUAGUCUUGGCCUUCACAACAUCCCCUGGCAAGGAGUUCCACCGGUUGACUGUACAUUGGGUGAAGAAAUACUCCCUUGUGUUUGUUUUAAACCUGCUGCCUAUUAAUGUCAUUUGGUGACCCCUAGUUCUUGUGUUAUGAGAAGGAGUAAACAACACUUCCUUAUUUACUUUCUCCUCACCCGUCAUGCUUUUAUAGACCUCAUUCAUAUCUCCCCUUACUCGUCUUUUUCCCAAACU
Chelonia mydas (Green sea turtle) is the source of this 271-nucleotide long non-coding RNA. RefSeq lists it as uncharacterized. The record is from RefSeq and is a predicted model, not a curated record. The transcript is spliced from 2 exons. NCBI's taxonomy places the organism in Eukaryota, Metazoa, Chordata, Testudines, Cheloniidae.